Molecule: ribosomal RNA, 1363 nt
Filed under: Vibrio parahaemolyticus
Lineage: Bacteria; Pseudomonadati; Pseudomonadota; Gammaproteobacteria; Vibrionales; Vibrionaceae
Description: bacterial SSU rRNA
Rfam family: Bacterial small subunit ribosomal RNA
Source: RNAcentral
GGGCCAAAGAGGGGGACCUUCGGGCCUCUCGCGUCAGGAUAUGCCUAGGUGGGAUUAGCUAGUUGGUGAGGUAAGGGCUCACCAAGGCGACGAUCCCUAGCUGGUCUGAGAGGAUGAUCAGCCACACUGGAACUGAGACACGGUCCAGACUCCUACGGGAGGCAGCAGUGGGGAAUAUUGCACAAUGGGCGCAAGCCUGAUGCAGCCAUGCCGCGUGUGUGAAGAAGGCCUUCGGGUUGUAAAGCACUUUCAGUCGUGAGGAAGGUAGUGUAGUUAAUAGCUGCAUUAUUUGACGUUAGCGACAGAAGAAGCACCGGCUAACUCCGUGCCAGCAGCCGCGGUAAUACGGAGGGUGCGAGCGUUAAUCGGAAUUACUGGGCGUAAAGCGCAUGCAGGUGGUUUGUUAAGUCAGAUGUGAAAGCCCGGGGCUCAACCUCGGAAUUGCAUUUGAAACUGGCAGACUAGAGUACUGUAGAGGGGGGUAGAAUUUCAGGUGUAGCGGUGAAAUGCGUAGAGAUCUGAAGGAAUACCGGUGGCGAAGGCGGCCCCCUGGACAGAUACUGACACUCAGAUGCGAAAGCGUGGGGAGCAAACAGGAUUAGAUACCCUGGUAGUCCACGCCGUAAACGAUGUCUACUUGGAGGUUGUGGCCUUGAGCCGUGGCUUUCGGAGCUAACGCGUUAAGUAGACCGCCUGGGGAGUACGGUCGCAAGAUUAAAACUCAAAUGAAUUGACGGGGGCCCGCACAAGCGGUGGAGCAUGUGGUUUAAUUCGAUGCAACGCGAAGAACCUUACCUACUCUUGACAUCCAGAGAACUUUCCAGAGAUGGAUUGGUGCCUUCGGGAACUCUGAGACAGGUGCUGCAUGGCUGUCGUCAGCUCGUGUUGUGAAAUGUUGGGUUAAGUCCCGCAACGAGCGCAACCCUUAUCCUUGUUUGCCAGCGAGUAAUGUCGGGAACUCCAGGGAGACUGCCGGUGAUAAACCGGAGGAAGGUGGGGACGACGUCAAGUCAUCAUGGCCCUUACGAGUAGGGCUACACACGUGCUACAAUGGCGCAUACAGAGGGCAGCCAACUUGCGAAAGUGAGCGAAUCCCAAAAAGUGCGUCGUAGUCCGGAUUGGAGUCUGCAACUCGACUCCAUGAAGUCGGAAUCGCUAGUAAUCGUGGAUCAGAAUGCCACGGUGAAUACGUUCCCGGGCCUUGUACACACCGCCCGUCACACCAUGGGAGUGGGCUGCAAAAGAAGUAGGUAGUUUAACCUUCGGGGGGACGCUUACCACUUUGUGGUUCAUGACUGGGGUGAAGUCGUAACAAGGUAGCGCUAGGGGAACCUGGCGCUGGAUCACCUCCUUAAACGAUGAU